UACGGAGGAUGCAAGCGUUAUCCGGAUUCAUUGGGUUUAAAGGGUGCGUAGGCGGCUUUUUAAGUCAGUGGUGAAAUCUUGCCGCUUAACGGUAAAAUUGCCAUUGAUACUGAAGAGCUUGAGUACAAUUGAGGUAAGCGGAAUGUGUAGUGUAGCGGUGAAAUGCUUAGAUAUUACACAGAACACCAAUUGCGAAGGCAGCUUACUAAACUGUCACUGACGCUGAUGCACGAAAGCGUGGGGAGCGAACAGGAUUAGAUACCCUGGUAGU
RNAcentral lists this ribosomal RNA (271 nucleotides) under uncultured bacterium. Its description in RNAcentral is "partial 16S ribosomal RNA". It matches the Rfam family "Bacterial small subunit ribosomal RNA", at positions 524 to 794 of the family's 1533-position model. The record is from RNAcentral.